This 399-nucleotide ribosomal RNA is filed under the name uncultured bacterium. RNAcentral describes it as "bacterial SSU rRNA". It matches the Rfam family "Bacterial small subunit ribosomal RNA", at positions 29 to 457 of the family's 1533-position model. The record is from RNAcentral.
AACGAACGCUGGCGGCAGGCUUAACACAUGCAAGUCGAACGCAUCGCAAGAUGAGUGGCAGACGGGUGAGUAACGCGUGGGAAUCUACCCAACCCUGCGGAAUAGCUCCGGGAAACUGGAAUUAAUACCGCAUACGCCCUACGGGGGAAAGAUUUAUCGGGGAUGGAUGAGCCCGCGUUGGAUUAGCUAGUUGGUGGGGUAAAGGCCUACCAAGGCGACGAUCCAUAGCUGGUCUGAGAGGAUGAUCAGCCACAUUGGGACUGAGACACGGCCCAAACUCCUACGGGAGGCAGCAGUGGGGAAUAUUGGACAAUGGGCGCAAGCCUGAUCCAGCCAUGCCGCGUGAGUGAUGAAGGCCUUAGGGUUGUAAAGCUCUUUCACCGGAGAAGAUAAUGACGG